AGAGAGAGAGAGAGUGUGUGUGUGUGUGUGUGUGUCCCUGUGUCCCUGUGUCCCUGAAGCAGUGUUGUCUUCUCUGGUUUUGCUCUUUAUUUUUGCUUUGUUUUAGUCUUGUCUAGAAAUUGGUUCUUUAUCAACAUAGUUUUCAACCUAUGGGUUGCAACCCAUUGGCAAAUCUGUCUCCUAAAACAUUUACAUUACGAUUCAUAACAGUAGCAAAAUUAUAGUUAUGAAGUGACAACAAGAAUAAUUUUAUGGUUGGGGGUCACUACAUGAGGAACUGUAUUAAAGGGCCACAGCAUUAGAAAGAUUGAGAAGCACUGCUCUGUGUCUUUAUGCAGUAGAUUUACUCCUGCUGUCAGUGUUCCUUAUAAAUAAGUCAGUCUUAACAUCUUUAUUGCAGUGGGCCAUAAUUUACUUAGCCAGGCCCAUAAUUAGACAUCUGAAGCUUUCACAUUGUGAUGAACAUCUCUGUCUACAAAGCUUUUUUGUGUAUAAUAUUAUUUAUUUAUUUAUUUUCUUUCUUUUUUUUCGGAGCUGGGGACUGAACCCAGGGCCUUGCGCUUUCUAGGCAAGCACUCUACCACUGAGCUAAAUCCCCAACCCUAAUUAUUUUUUUAUUAAAUGUCUAUAAAUUCACUGUAGCUGUCUUCUCUUAACCACUGAGCCAUCUCUCCAGCCCCAUACAAAGCUUUUAAUAUAUAGAAUUUUUAAAAACAUUUCUCAGGACUCCGUUUACUUGGAUAAAGGG
This 748-nucleotide long non-coding RNA is filed under the name Rattus norvegicus (Norway rat). RNAcentral's name for it is "long non-coding RNA NONRATT019223". The record is from RNAcentral. Lineage: Eukaryota; Metazoa; Chordata; Mammalia; Rodentia; Muridae.